Molecule: small nuclear RNA, 107 nt
Organism: Gorilla gorilla gorilla (western lowland gorilla)
Lineage: Eukaryota; Metazoa; Chordata; Mammalia; Primates; Hominidae
Source: Ensembl
GUGCUUGCUUUGGCAGUGUGAAUACUAAAAUUGGAAUGAUACAGAGAAGAUUAGCAUGGCUUCUGUGCAAGGAUGACACACAAAGUCAUGAAGUACUCUGUAUUUUU